GACGAACGCUGGCGGCGUGCUUAACACAUGCAAGUCGAGCGGUAAGGCCCUUUCGGGGGUACGACGAGCGGCGAACGGGUGAGUAACACGUGGGUGACCUGCCCUCAGCUCUGGGAUAAGCCUGGGAAACCGGGUCUAAUACUGGAUAUGACUCCAUGACGCAUGUUGUGGGGUGGAAAGCCUUGUGCGGCUGAGGAUGGGCCCGCGGCCUAUCAGCUUGUUGGUGGGGUGANGGCCUACCAAGGCGACGACGGGUAGCCGGCCUGAGAGGGCGACCGGCCACACUGGGACUGAGACACGGCCCAGACUCCUACGGGAGGCAGCAGUGGGGAAGUCUUGCGCAAUGGGCGAAAGCCUGACGCAGCGACGCCGCGUGAGGGAUGACGGCC
This 389-nucleotide ribosomal RNA is filed under the name uncultured bacterium. RNAcentral's name for it is "bacterial SSU rRNA". It matches the Rfam family "Bacterial small subunit ribosomal RNA", at positions 28 to 416 of the family's 1533-position model. The record is from RNAcentral.